RNAcentral lists this ribosomal RNA (558 nucleotides) under uncultured soil bacterium. Its description in RNAcentral is "bacterial SSU rRNA". It matches the Rfam family "Bacterial small subunit ribosomal RNA", at positions 908 to 1463 of the family's 1533-position model. The record is from RNAcentral.
AAUUGACGGGGCCCCGCACAAGCGGCGGAGCAUGCGGAUUAAUUCGAUGCAACGCGUAGAACCUUACCUGGGUUUGACAUGGAUCGGGAGUGCUCAGAGAUGGGUGUGCCUCUUUUGGGGUCGGUUCACAGGUGGUGCAUGGCUGUCGUCAGCUCGUGUCGUGAGAUGUUGGGUUAAGUCCCGCAACGAGCGCAACCCUUGUUCACUGUUGCCAGCACGUUAUGGUGGGGACUCAGUGGAGACCGCCGGGGUCAACUCGGAGGAAGGUGGGGAUGACGUCAAGUCAUCAUGCCCCUUAUGUCCAGGGCUUCACGCAUGCUGCAAUGGCUGGUACAGAGAGUGGCGAGCCUGUGAGGGUGAGCGAAUCUCGGAAAGCCGGUCUCAGUUCGGAUUGGGGUCUGCAACUCGACCUCAUGAAGUCGGAGUCGCUAGUAAUCGCAGAUCAGCAACGCUGCGGUGAAUACGUUCCCGGGGCUUGUACACACCGCCCGUCAAGUCAUGAAAGUUGGUAACACCCGAAGCCGGUGGCCUAACCGUUGUGGGGGAGCCGUCGAAGGU